Molecule: ribosomal RNA, 301 nt
Filed under: uncultured bacterium
Lineage: Bacteria
Description: partial 16S ribosomal RNA
Rfam family: Bacterial small subunit ribosomal RNA
Source: RNAcentral
CAGCAGCCGCGGGAAAACGUAGGGUGCAAGCGUUAAUCGGAAUUACUGGGCGUAAAGCGUGCGCAGGCAGUCCGCUAAGACAGAUGUGAAAUCCCCGGGCUUAACCUGGGAACUGCAUUUGUGACUGGCGGGCUAGAGUAUGGCAGAGGGGGGUAGAAUUCCACGUGUAGCAGUGAAGUGCGUAGAGAUGUGGAGGAAUACCGAUGGCGAAGGCAGCCCCCUGGGCCAAUACUGACGCUCAUGCACGAAAGCGUGGGGAGCAAACAGGAUUAGAGACCCCCGUAGUCCCUGUCUCUUAUAC